AUUGAACGCUGGCGGCAUGCCUUACACAUGCAAGUCGAACGGUAACGCGGGGCAACCUGGCGACGAGUGGCGAACGGGCGAGUAAUGCAUCGGAACGUGCCCAGUAGUGGGGGAUAGCCCGGCGAAAGCCGGAUUAAUACCGCAUACGACCUUCGGGUGAAAGGGGGGGAUCGCAAGACCUCUCGCUAUUGGAGCGGCCGAUGUCAGAUUAGGUAGUUGGUGGGGUAAAAGCCUACCAAGCCGACGAUCUGUAGCUGGUCUGAGAGGACGACCAGCCACACUGGGAAUGGGACACGGCCCAGACUCCUACGGGAGGCAGCAGUGGGGAAUUUUGGACAAUGGGCGCAAGCCUGAUCCAGCCAUGCCGCGGGCGGGAAGAAGGCCUUCGGGUUGUAAACCGCUUUUGUCAGGGAAGAAACGCUUCGAGCUAAUACCUCGGAGUAAUGACGGUACCUGAAGAAUAAGCACCGGCUAACUACGUGCCAGCCGCCGCGGUAA
This 498-nucleotide ribosomal RNA is filed under the name uncultured bacterium. Its description in RNAcentral is "partial 16S ribosomal RNA". It matches the Rfam family "Bacterial small subunit ribosomal RNA", at positions 29 to 523 of the family's 1533-position model. The record is from RNAcentral.